Morone saxatilis (striped sea-bass) is the source of this 1572-nucleotide long non-coding RNA. RefSeq lists it as uncharacterized. NCBI's taxonomy places the organism in Eukaryota, Metazoa, Chordata, Actinopteri, Moronidae. The record is from RefSeq and is a predicted model, not a curated record. The transcript is spliced from 4 exons.
CUCUUCACGGGUGUGCAUCGUAGCAGCGACAGAGGCGCUGGUCGGAGCUCCAACAGAGACCAUCACUGCACUGGACCUUGAGGAGGAAGUAGCUUCUUUUUAUUGCUUAUUGGAAAUAAUCACACUGAUCGAUCUGCCUUGAUUUGCCAGGGCACCAGUUCGCGCAAGGAUUCUUUGGACGCAUUCAGAGGAUUAAAUACUGCUGUUACAGUACUGACACACGUGGAGGAGUUAUUAUUAUUAUUAUAUGUAUUAUCAUUAUUAUUGGUCAAACUUGAUGAUGGCAGCAGCUGAUGGAUUCAACACUCCAGCUGUGAAUCGUCCUGUAGGAUAUAAGGAAAUACUGUCUCUUACACGGAAUAAGGGGUGUCCAUUACUCCUGCUGCCCUUUGCUGGACAAGCCGUUUGGCGGACAGACGAGUCUCUUGGGAUACUUCACGCGUGUGGGCCGGUGUCAUAGAUGGCCAGUACCAUGAUGUGGUUUUUGGGAAUCGAUAUUUAUUGUGUUGGAUUUUGUCGAAAGGAAUGGGAUAUCCUGGGAUAUAUUUUUGGAAGCGAUGCUCAGCAGAUGUCCAGCAAUUCUGGAUAAUGACAGUACGCAUCUCCUCAUCCAGCAGUGAAGGAAUCCAAACUCUUGGAAUGAGAUGUCAACGUUUAAUUGCUUCCCAGGGAUCUUCUGAUGAUCUCAGGUGAGCACUCAGAAGAGGCUGACUAAUGGAAACAUGAUCUCAAGAGAUUCAGCAGGAUCAUACUAAAUCCUGGUUUGGACUGUGGACCAGCAUCCCCUGCAGCAGAUGUUUGCUCCUGGCAUGGCUGCGAACAGCGUGAGCUCCAUCACUGACAGUCUCGCUCUCAGGAUCCAACCCAGCUUGGACCUGGAGAAGCAGUGACAUAAACUCAGCAGGACAGUGGAGUGUAUUCUGCUGCUCAGACAUUAUGGAACAGAUCAGUCAACCCUGUCUGGAGAGCUGCUCGAUAGGAAAGUCAGCUCGAUGAAUGUACACUUACCAGAAUAACCACAAUGGAUCUACACAUUGUUUGACUUUUUCUAAAUUGAACCUGGAUUAAUAUUUUCCUGCAAUGUACAUCUGCUUUUGAUAUUCAGCGUUUAUUCACACUGUUGCUCAUACACUGCAGUUGUGACAUACACUGUGUUAUUCUGGAUACAGUAUCAACAAGUGCUGGAACUGUAAAUGGAAAAUAAUCAGAUUCAGAUAUUUUCAUUUUGUAGCUCCAAUUUAACAGGCUGGAGACAGCGCGUACACCAGUGCAGUCACAUACAAGGUUUAUCUAGUGAAGAGAAGAUUCUCCAGAAUGAUUACUGGCACUGGAAAUGUAACGUUAUCAUUUGAUGUCUUGUAAUUGCGAUGACAAAGAGGCUAUUGUAAUCAAGGUGCUGAUGAAUGCAAACCAAAAAAUUUUGUCACAUUGGCAGCCUGUGUUAAUAUUGAUUAAUAAUCCUGUCAAAGUGUUUAUUCUCAUGAUGAUUUAUAGCCCCAUAACGUUUGUUGUGUCUGUAAAACCCUGUUGCAGAAAUAAAAAAAAAGGAAAAUGUAUCCAAGCUGGUGCCUG